RNAcentral lists this ribosomal RNA (979 nucleotides) under Bacillus mojavensis. RNAcentral describes it as "bacterial SSU rRNA". It matches the Rfam family "Bacterial small subunit ribosomal RNA", at positions 68 to 1025 of the family's 1533-position model. Lineage: Bacteria; Bacillati; Bacillota; Bacilli; Caryophanales; Bacillaceae. The record is from RNAcentral.
GGCCGAUGGUGCUGCUCCUGAUGUUAGCGGCGGACGGGUGAGUAACACGUGGGUAACCUGCCUGUAAGACUGGGAUAACUCCGGGAAACCGGGGCUAAUACCGGAUGCUUGUUUGAACCGCAUGGUUCAAACAUAAAAGGUGGCUUCGGCUACCACUUACAGAUGGACCCGCGGCGCAUUAGCUAGUUGGUGAGGUAAUGGCUCACCAAGGCAACGAUGCGUAGCCGACCUGAGAGGGUGAUCGGCCACACUGGGACUGAGACACGGCCCAGACUCCUACGGGAGGCAGCAGUAGGGAAUCUUCCGCAAUGGACGAAAGUCUGACGGAGCAACGCCGCGUGAGUGAUGAAGGUUUUCGGAUCGUAAAGCUCUGUUGUUAGGGAAGAACAAGUACCGUUCGAAUAGGGCGGUACCUUGACGGUACCUAACCAGAAAGCCACGGCUAACUACGUGCCAGCAGCCGCGGUAAUACGUAGGUGGCAAGCGUUGUCCGGAAUUAUUGGGCGUAAAGGGCUCGCAGGCGGUUCCUUAAGUCUGAUGUGAAAGCCCCCGGCUCAACCGGGGAGGGUCAUUGGAAACUGGGGAACUUGAGUGCAGAAGAGGAGAGUGGAAUUCCACGUGUAGCGGUGAAAUGCGUAGAGAUGUGGAGGAACACCAGUGGCGAACGCGACUCUCUGGUCUGUAACUGACGCUGAGGAGCGAAAGCGUGGGGAGCGAACAGGAUUAGAUACCCUGGUAGUCCACGCCGUAAACGAUGAGUGCUAAGUGUUAGGGGGUUUCCGCCCCUUAGUGCUGCAGCUAACGCAUUAAGCACUCCGCCUGGGGGGAGUACGGUCGCAAGAACUGAAACUCAAAGGGAAUUGACGGGGGCCCGCACAGCGGUGGAGCAUGUGGUUUAAUUCGAAGGCACGCGAAGAACCUUACAAGUCCUUGAACAUUCGUCUGACAAAUCCUUAAGAGAGAGAAAUAUAGGAAACUG